This 407-nucleotide ribosomal RNA is filed under the name uncultured bacterium. Its description in RNAcentral is "partial 16S ribosomal RNA". It matches the Rfam family "Bacterial small subunit ribosomal RNA", at positions 28 to 527 of the family's 1533-position model. The record is from RNAcentral.
GACGAACGCUGGCGGCGUGCCUAAUACAUGCAAGUAGAACGCAGUUGCGAACGGGUGAGUAACGCGUAGGUAACUGCCUCAUAGCGGGGGAUAACUAUUGGAAACGAUAGCUAAUACCGCAUACUGUGAGAUGGACCUGCGUUUUAUUGGAUAGUUGGUGAGGUAAAGGCUCACCAAGGCGACCAUACAUAGCCGACCUGAGAGGGUGAUGGGCAAAAAGGGGACUGAGACAAGGCCCAGACUCCGACGGGAGGCAGCAGUAGGGAAUCUGCGGCAAUGGAAGGAAGUCUGACCGAGCAACGCGGCGUGAGUGAAGAAGGUUUUCGGAACGUAAAGCUCAGUUGUAAGAGAAGAGGGAAGGAAAAAGAAAGGGACGGCUAACUACGUGCCAGCAGCCGCGGUAAUUG